AUUGAACGCUGGCGGCAUGCUUUACACAUGCAAGUCGAACGGCAGCGCGGGCUUCGGCCUGGCGGCGAGUGGCGAACGGGUGAGUAAUACAUCGGAACGUGCCCAGUAGUGGGGGAUAGCUCGUCGAAAGCCGGAUUAAUACCGCAUACGACCUGAGGGUGAAAGCGGGGGAUCUUCGGACCUCGCGCUAUUUGAGCGGCCGAUGGCAGAUUAGCUAGUUGGUGGGGUAAAGGCCUACCAAGGCGACGAUCUGUAGCUGGUCUGAGAGGACGACCAGCCACACUGGGACUGAGACACGGCCCAGACUCCUACGGGAGGCAGCAGUGGGGAAUUUUGGACAAUGGGCGAAAGCCUGAUCCAGCAAUGCCGCGUGUGUGAUGAAGGCCUUCGGGUUGUAAAGCACUUUUGGCGGGAACGAAAAGGACUGUGCCAAUACCACGGUUCGAUGACGGUACCCGCAGAAUAAGCACCGGCUAACUACGUG
RNAcentral lists this ribosomal RNA (484 nucleotides) under uncultured bacterium. RNAcentral's name for it is "partial 16S ribosomal RNA". It matches the Rfam family "Bacterial small subunit ribosomal RNA", at positions 30 to 507 of the family's 1533-position model. The record is from RNAcentral.